This 253-nucleotide ribosomal RNA is filed under the name uncultured bacterium. Its description in RNAcentral is "partial 16S ribosomal RNA". It matches the Rfam family "Bacterial small subunit ribosomal RNA", at positions 524 to 776 of the family's 1533-position model. The record is from RNAcentral.
UACGUAGGGGGCAAGCGUUAUCCGGAUUUACUGGGUGUAAAGGGAGCGUAGACGGCUUUGCAAGCCAGAUGUGAAAGCCCGGGGCUCAACCCCGGGACUGCAUUUGGAACUGUGUGGCUAGAGUGUCGGAGAGGCAGGCGGAAUUCCUAGUGUAGCGGUGAAAUGCGUAGAUAUUAGGAGGAACACCAGUGGCGAGGGCGGCCUGCUGGACGAUGACUGACGUUGAGGCUCGAAAGCGUGGGGAGCAAACAGG